Molecule: ribosomal RNA, 711 nt
Filed under: uncultured Enterobacteriaceae bacterium
Lineage: Bacteria; Pseudomonadati; Pseudomonadota; Gammaproteobacteria; Enterobacterales; Enterobacteriaceae
Description: bacterial SSU rRNA
Rfam family: Bacterial small subunit ribosomal RNA
Source: RNAcentral
AUUGAACGCUGGCGGCAGGCCUAACACAUGCAAGUCGAGCGGCAGCGGAAAGUAGCUUGCUACUUUGCCGGCGAGCGGCGGACGGGUGAGUAAUGUCUGGGAAACUGCCUGAUGGAGGGGGAUAACUACUGGAAACGGUAGCUAAUACCGCAUGACCUCGCAAGAGCAAAGUGGGGGACCUUCGGGCCUCACGCCAUCGGAUGUGCCCAGAUGGGAUUAGCUAGUAGGUGGGGUAAUGGCUCACCUAGGCGACGAUCCCUAGCUGGUCUGAGAGGAUGACCAGCCACACUGGAACUGAGACACGGUCCAGACUCCUACGGGAGGCAGCAGUGGGGAAUAUUGCACAAUGGGCGCAAGCCUGAUGCAGCCAUGCCGCGUGUGUGAAGAAGGCCUUCGGGUUGUAAAGCACUUUCAGCGAGGAGGAAGGGGUUGAGUUUAAUACGCUCAAUCAUUGACGUUACUCGCAGAAGAAGCACCGGCUAACUCCGUGCCAGCAGCCGCGGUAAUACGGGAGGGUGCAAGCGUUAAUCGGAAUUACUGGGCGUAAGGCGCACGCAGGCGGUUUUGUUAAAGUCAUAUGUGAAAAUCCCCGCGCUUAACGUGGGGACUGCAUUUGAAAUUGUCUAGCUAGAGUCUUGUAGAGAGGGGUCAAAACCCAGGUGUAGCGGUGAAUUUUAGAGAUUGGGAGCUACAGGGUGUUGACGCGUACCC